Molecule: non-coding RNA, 71 nt
Organism: Phrynosoma platyrhinos (Desert horned lizard)
Lineage: Eukaryota; Metazoa; Chordata; Lepidosauria; Squamata; Phrynosomatidae
Source: the annotation of a GenBank genome assembly
GCCAGCGUGGGGUAGUGGUUUUAGUGUUAGACUACAACUCUGGAGACCAGGGUUUGAUUCCCACUCAGCCA